Molecule: ribosomal RNA, 480 nt
Filed under: uncultured bacterium
Lineage: Bacteria
Description: bacterial SSU rRNA
Rfam family: Bacterial small subunit ribosomal RNA
Source: RNAcentral
GACGAACGCUGGCGGCGUGCUUAACACAUGCAAGUCGAACGGAGUUACGUAUGAAGUAUUUCGGUACGGACUAUGUAACUUAGUGGCGAACGGGUGAGUAACACGUGGGCAACCUGCCCUUAACCGGGGGAUAACAUUGUGAAAACAGUGCUAAUACCGCAUAACAGAGUAUCGGGCAUCCGAUAUUUUUAAAAGGAGCAAUCCGGUUUAGGAUGGGCCCGCGUCCAAUUAGCUAGUUGGUGAGGUAACGGCUCACCAAGGCUACGAUUGGUAGCCGAACUGAGAGGUUGAUCGGCCACAUUGGGACUAGGACACGGCCCAGACUCCUACGGGAGGCAGCAGUGGGGAAUAUUGGGCAAUGGGCGAAAGCCUGACCCAGCGACGCCGCGUGAAGGAUGAAGGUCUUCGGAUUGUAAACUUCUUUGAUCAGGGAAGAAAGAAAUGACGGUACCUGAAGAACAAGCCACGGCUAACUACGUG